UACGUAGGGGGCAAGCGUUGUCCGGAUUUACUGGGUGUAAAGGGCGCGUAGGCGGAUUAAUAAGUCAGAGGUGAAAGCCUGCAGCUCAACUGCAGAAUUGCCUUUGAAACUAUUGAUCUUGAGUAUGGAAGAGAGAAGCGGAAUUCCAGGUGUAGUGGUGAAAUACGUAGAUAUCUGGAAGAACACCAGUUGCGAAGGCGGCUUCUUGGUCCAUUACUGACGCUCAGGCGCGAAAGCGUGGGUAGCAAACAGG
RNAcentral lists this ribosomal RNA (253 nucleotides) under uncultured bacterium. RNAcentral describes it as "partial 16S ribosomal RNA". It matches the Rfam family "Bacterial small subunit ribosomal RNA", at positions 524 to 776 of the family's 1533-position model. The record is from RNAcentral.